This 497-nucleotide ribosomal RNA is filed under the name uncultured bacterium. RNAcentral describes it as "partial 16S ribosomal RNA". It matches the Rfam family "Bacterial small subunit ribosomal RNA", at positions 28 to 507 of the family's 1533-position model. The record is from RNAcentral.
GAUGAACGCUGGCGGCGUGCCUAAUACAUGCAAGUCGAGCGAACAGAUGAGGAGCUUGCUCCUCUGACGUUAGCGGCGGACGGGUGAGUAACACGUGGAUAACCUACCUAUAAGACUGGGAUAACUUCGGGAAACCGGAGCUAAUACCGGAUAAUAUAUUGAACCGCAUGGUUCAAUAGUGAAAGACGGUUUUGCUGUCACUUAUAGAUGGAUCCGCGCCGCAUUAGCUAGUUGGUAAGGUAACGGCUUACCAAGGCGACGAUGCGUAGCCGACCUGAGAGGGAGAUCGGCCACACUGGAACUGAGACACGGUCCAGACUCCUACGGGAGGCAGCAGUAGAGAAUCUUCCGCAAUGGGCGAAAGCCUGACGGAGCAACGCCGCGUGAGUGAUGAAGGUCUUCGGAUCGUAAAGCUCUGUUAUUAGGGAAGAACAAAUGUGUAAGUAACUAUGCACGUCUUGACGGUACCUAAUCAGAAAGACACGGCUAACUACGUG